Molecule: microRNA, 22 nt
Filed under: Sarcophilus harrisii (Tasmanian devil)
Lineage: Eukaryota; Metazoa; Chordata; Mammalia; Dasyuromorphia; Dasyuridae
Also listed under: 1 other name
Description: Sha-Mir-7371-o14_3p (mature (guide))
Source: RNAcentral
AAUAAAUUACCUUAUCCUUGGA